Molecule: microRNA precursor, 75 nt
Filed under: Dinoponera quadriceps
Lineage: Eukaryota; Metazoa; Arthropoda; Insecta; Hymenoptera; Formicidae
Description: microRNA dqu-mir-11662 precursor
Source: miRBase by way of RNAcentral
UUAGGUAUCAAUGUGGUUCAAAUGCUGAACGAUGAAUAUGAAAUUUCAACAUUUGAACCCCAUAGAUAUCAUAAA